RNAcentral lists this ribosomal RNA (261 nucleotides) under uncultured archaeon. Its description in RNAcentral is "partial 16S ribosomal RNA". It matches the Rfam family "Archaeal small subunit ribosomal RNA", at positions 748 to 1008 of the family's 1478-position model. The record is from RNAcentral.
AGGGUGUAAACGCUGCAGACUUGGUGUUGGGAACCCUUCGGGGGUGCUCAGUGCCGGAGAGAAGUUGUUAAGUCUGCUACUUGGGGAGUACGUCCGCAAGGAUAAAACUUAAAGGAAUUGGCGGGGGAGCACCGCAACGGGAGGAGCGUGCGGUUUAAUUGGAUUCAACGCCGAAAAACUCACCAGCAGCGACUGUUACAUGAAAGUCAGGUUGAUGACCUUACUAGAUUUUCAGAGAGGAGGUGCAUGGCGUCAGUGACU